RNAcentral lists this ribosomal RNA (389 nucleotides) under uncultured methanogenic archaeon. Its description in RNAcentral is "bacterial SSU rRNA". It matches the Rfam family "Archaeal small subunit ribosomal RNA", at positions 40 to 436 of the family's 1478-position model. Lineage: Archaea; Methanobacteriati; Methanobacteriota. The record is from RNAcentral.
UCGACUAGCAUGCGAGUCAGGUGUCUUCGGACGCCGGCAUACGGCUCAGUAACACGUAGGUAACCUACCCUCAGGACUGAGAUAACCCCGGGAAACUGGGGCUAAUAUUAGAUAGAUAAAAGAUACUGGAAUAUUCUUUUAUCCAAAGCUUUUGCGCCUGAGGAUGGGCCUGCGUCCGAUUAGGUUGUUGGUGGGGUAAUGGCCCACCAAGCCUGCGAUCGGUACGGGCAGUGGGAGCUGAAGCCCGGAGUUGGGGACUGAGACAAGGCCCCAGGCCCUACGGGGCGCAGCAGGCGCGAAACCUCUGCAAUGCGGGAAACCGUGACAGGGGGAUCCCAAGUGCUCAAGCAUUGCAUGGGCUGUUCUUUGGUCUAAGUAACCAGAGGAGU